CAGCCCCAGGUGCUUUGAUUCAGAUUGCAGCUGGGAUUUGUUUUUCUAUGAAGAGGCUGUAACAACUGCUUUUAUCAUCUACUGUAAGUAUAAUAACAGCAGGAAAUCAGGCAGCACGGGUGAAAUUAAGCUCUGUGACAAAUGAUUUGGUUUCUUUCCAUUAACAAUCAUGAUUUGACCUGAACUGCCUCAAUUAAGGGGUUGGAGGGGGGAGCCCUUGGUUUGCUCGUUAUAUAUGCAAGAGAGAGAGAACCGAAGGGAAACAGAGAAACAGAUGAGAGAGAGCGAGAUGAAACAGAAAACAUGACAGGAUGUUAAUUUGCUGUGGCAUAUAUGACCCAAGUCACAAGUUUGACUCUUCCAACCCAGAGGCAAAGGCAGUUUAGUGAGAAGAGACUAUUCCAGAAGAGCUGAGAGCCUCCAACGCUGUCAUCUGCCCUCAGAGUUAGGACUACCUAAGAACAUCAGCAAAGUCUUCAAAACAGAUUCUCACCAAAGGGUACUUCCUAUCCCGUGCACAGGCCUUGCAAAGCAAAGAUUACCACAGACUGCCUUUAUGGAGCCCUUCUGCAUUUCCCCAUGACUUAAACAAUGGUGGACCAAGAGUUGGUUCAGAAAACAUCCUUUUUGUAUAUGUUGACUCAGUUGGGGACAUCCUUGUGAACCAUGGCUCUGGCUGGAAGACUCAAUGCUGGAAACUGCCUCUGGUCCCAGUGGGCUCCUCUCUCCCUCUGCUUCAGGUGGAAGUAUGAAUGGACCUCCUGGCUGUAUUUGCACAUUCUCUGAAUAGUAAAAUGACUUGUCCAGCAGCC
This is a long non-coding RNA of Bubalus bubalis (water buffalo), 812 nucleotides long. RefSeq lists it as uncharacterized. The record is from RefSeq and is a predicted model, not a curated record. The transcript is spliced from 3 exons. NCBI's taxonomy places the organism in Eukaryota, Metazoa, Chordata, Mammalia, Artiodactyla, Bovidae.